UACGAAGGGGGCUAGCGUUGCUCGGAAUUACUGGGCAUAAAGCGCACGUAGGCGGUCUUUUAAGUCGGGGGUGAAAUCCUGGAGCUCAACUCCAGAACUGCCUUCGAUACUGGAAGACUUGAGUCCGGGAGAGGUGAGUGGAACUGCGAGUGUAGAGGUGAAAUUCGUAGAUAUUCGCAAGAACACCAGUGGCGAAGGCGGCUCACUGGCCCGGUACUGACGCUGAGGUGCGAAAGCGUGGGGAGCAAACAGG
RNAcentral lists this ribosomal RNA (253 nucleotides) under uncultured bacterium. Its description in RNAcentral is "partial 16S ribosomal RNA". It matches the Rfam family "Bacterial small subunit ribosomal RNA", at positions 524 to 776 of the family's 1533-position model. The record is from RNAcentral.